AGUGAACGCUGGCGGUAGGCCUAACACAUGCAAGUCGAACGGCAGCACAGUAAGAGCUUGCUCUUACGGGUGGCGAGUGGCGGACGGGUGAGGAAUACAUCGGAAUCUACUUUUUCGUGGGGGAUAACGUAGGGAAACUUACGCUAAUACCGCAUAUGACCUACGGGUGAAAGCAGGGGAUCUUCGGACCUUUCGCGAUUGAAUGAGCCGAUGUCGGAUUAGCUAGUUGGCGGGGUAAAGGCCCACCAAGGCGACGAUCCGUAGCGGGUCUGAGAGGAUGAUCAGCCACACUGGAACUGAGACACGGUCCAGACUCCUACGGGAGGCAGCAGUGGGGAAUAUUGGACAAUGGGCGCAAGCCUGAUCCAGCCAUACCGCGUGGGUGAAGAAGGCCUUCGGGUUGUAAAGCCCUUUUGUUGGGAAAGAAAAGCAGCAGGUUAAUACCCCGCUGUUCUGACGGUACCCAAAGAAUAAGCACCGGCUAACUUCGUG
This 492-nucleotide ribosomal RNA is filed under the name uncultured bacterium. Its description in RNAcentral is "partial 16S ribosomal RNA". It matches the Rfam family "Bacterial small subunit ribosomal RNA", at positions 29 to 507 of the family's 1533-position model. The record is from RNAcentral.